Long non-coding RNA from Salvia miltiorrhiza (redroot sage), 503 nucleotides. RefSeq lists it as uncharacterized. Lineage: Eukaryota; Viridiplantae; Streptophyta; Magnoliopsida; Lamiales; Lamiaceae. The transcript is spliced from 3 exons. The record is from RefSeq and is a predicted model, not a curated record.
CACCAAAACCACCCCCCAACCGCCCAAGUUCAGUCAAACACUCUUAACUCACGUUGAUUUUCAGCCCACACACAACUCACACACACUAACACCUAAAACACACACACCAUUCACGCAUAUACCAUUUUUUAGCUUGAGCUCAAGCUUUUGAGCUCCGAUUUGAGCACCGAGAUGAACGCCGAUCAUCUUUUCGAUCACGUAUCUAAGUAGGUCCUUUUGGGAAGUAACGACUUGAGGGAGAGAGUGACGUUACUCAUUGAUACAGAGACACAACGAGGUUGAGCUGAUGUGAUGAUGGUGCUGCAAUGAGCGGAGUCUCCAGGGUUGUUAAUAAAUAGUUAACCUGUCUAGAAUAUGUCUUCAUACAUAUGUCUAGCUACUUUCCGCUGCAAGAUGUUGUUGAUGUUAUAGUAUGUUAUGUCAUACUUUGAGUCUUAAGAGAAUGGUUUCAUAUGAUGUAUAACUUGAUUAAUGAUAUUAAUUAAGUUUUAUGUUGUCUUUCA